UACGGGGGGGGCAAGCGUUGUUCGGAAUUACUGGGCGUAAAGGGCUCGUAGGCGGCCAACUAAGUCAUACGUGAAAUCCCUCGGCUUAACCGGGGAACUGCGUCUGAUACUGGAUGGCUUGAGAGUGGGAGAGGGAUGCGGAAUUCCAGGUGUAGCGGUGAAAUGCGCAGAUAUCAGGAGGAACACCGGUGGCGAAGGCGGAUCUCUGGGCCAUUACUGACGCUGAGGAGCGAAAGCGUGGGGAGCGAACAGG
RNAcentral lists this ribosomal RNA (253 nucleotides) under uncultured bacterium. RNAcentral's name for it is "partial 16S ribosomal RNA". It matches the Rfam family "Bacterial small subunit ribosomal RNA", at positions 524 to 776 of the family's 1533-position model. The record is from RNAcentral.